RNAcentral lists this transfer RNA (94 nucleotides) under Cicer arietinum (chickpea). It matches the Rfam family "tRNA". From Rfam's summary of the family: Transfer RNA (tRNA) molecules are approximately 80 nucleotides in length. Their secondary structure includes four short double-helical elements and three loops (D, anti-codon, and T loops). Lineage: Eukaryota; Viridiplantae; Streptophyta; Magnoliopsida; Fabales; Fabaceae. The record is from Rfam by way of RNAcentral.
CCGACCUUAGCUCAGUUGGUAGAGCGGAGGACUGUAGUUGGAAAACUUCCAGAUAGCCAUCCUUAGGUCGCUGGUUCGAAUCCGGCAGGUCGGA